This is a non-coding RNA of Mesocricetus auratus (golden hamster), 478 nucleotides long. Lineage: Eukaryota; Metazoa; Chordata; Mammalia; Rodentia; Cricetidae. The record is from the annotation of a RefSeq genome assembly.
CUCUGCUGAUUUGCAUGUAACCAGAAAACACACUCCUAUCCAGAGGACUUUUUAAUAGGCUGGUCACACCCUGUGCAGGAGUCAGUUCCAGUCAGGACACAGCACAGACAUGAGGGCUCCUGCUCAUCUCCUGGGGCUGCUGCUGCUCUGGAUCCCAGGUUCCAGAUGUGAUAUCCAGUUGACCCAGUCUCCAUCUCAGACUGUAUCACUAAAAGACCCAGUCACCAUCAGGUGUCAAGCGAGUCAGAGCAUUGGCACUUCAUUAAACUGGUAUCAGCAAAAACCAGGAAAAUCUCCUAAGCUCCUGAUCUAUGCUGCGUCUAAUUUGUAUACUGGGGUCCCAUCGAGGUUCAGUGGCAGUGGGUCUGGGACAGAUUUUACCCUCACCAUCAGCACUUUGGAGCCAGAAGAUAUUGGAAUGUAUUACUGCCAACAGCACUAUGAUUACCCACCCACAGUGGAACAACUCAUAACAUAA